This 465-nucleotide ribosomal RNA is filed under the name uncultured bacterium. RNAcentral's name for it is "partial 16S ribosomal RNA". It matches the Rfam family "Bacterial small subunit ribosomal RNA", at positions 28 to 507 of the family's 1533-position model. The record is from RNAcentral.
GACGAACGCUGGCGGCGUGCUUAACACAUGCAAGUCGAACGGAAAGGCCCUGCUUGCAGGGUGCUCGAGUGGCGAAAGGGUGAGUAAAACGUGGGAGUUAUGCGCUGCACUUCGGGAUAAGCCUGGGAAAAUGGGGCUCAUACCGGAUAGGGGCCAUUUUUAGGGAGAGGGUGGGAAGGAUUUUUCGGUGUAGGGUGAGCUGGCGGGCUGUCUGCUUGUUGGUGGGGUAGUGGCCUACCAAGGCGGCGGCGGGUAGCCGGCCGGAGCGGGGGGGCGGCCACAUUGGGGCUGGGAUUCGGCCCAGACUCCUACGGGGGGCAGCAGGUGGGAAAUUUGCACAAUGGGGGCGAGCCUGAUGCAGCGACGCCGCGUGGGGGAUUACGGCCUUCGGGUUGUAAACUCCUUUCGCUAUGUACGAAGCUGUUUGUGACGGUACCGAGAUAAGAAGCACCGGCUAACUACGUG